GUCUAUGGCCAUGCUACCCUGAAUAAGCCCAAUCCUGUCUGAUCUCGGAAGCUAAGCAGGGUCAGGCCUGGUUAGUACUUGGAUGGGAGACCGCCUAGGAAAACCAGGUGCUGUAGGCU
This 119-nucleotide ribosomal RNA is filed under the name Pteropus alecto (black flying fox). The record is from RNAcentral. Lineage: Eukaryota; Metazoa; Chordata; Mammalia; Chiroptera; Pteropodidae.